This is a long non-coding RNA of Spodoptera frugiperda (fall armyworm), 234 nucleotides long. RefSeq lists it as uncharacterized. NCBI's taxonomy places the organism in Eukaryota, Metazoa, Arthropoda, Insecta, Lepidoptera, Noctuidae. The record is from RefSeq and is a predicted model, not a curated record. The transcript has 2 exons.
UGCAACUUGGUCAGUUGUGAAGUCACAACUGACAAAAAUAAGAGCUACAGACGGGCUACUAGUGAUGAUACCUCCGAAAGCCGGCGAUCAGUGAUUAAAGGGGGCUGUAUCAACGGCGAGAUGCGCACACCUACAGGGGAAUGUGUAAAGGUUGAAUAAAUUGAAGGCGAUGUCCUCCUUGACUACUUGUUGAUCCUUUACCCAAUUUUUGAAAAUAAAAUGCCUUGAAAGAAA